This 395-nucleotide ribosomal RNA is filed under the name uncultured bacterium. RNAcentral's name for it is "bacterial SSU rRNA". It matches the Rfam family "Bacterial small subunit ribosomal RNA", at positions 28 to 418 of the family's 1533-position model. The record is from RNAcentral.
GACGAACGCUGGCGGCGCGCUUAACACAUGCAAGUCGAGCGAGAACCAGGGCUUCGGCCCUGGGGAAAGCGGCGAACGGGUGAGUAACACGUGAGUAACCUGUCCUCGGCACCGGGAUAGCCCGGGGAAACCCGGAUUAAUACCGGAUGGCCUUUCGAGUCUUCGGGCUCGUCAGAAAGGGAGCUUCGGCCUCCGGCCGAGGAGGGACUCGCGGCGGAUUAGCUUGUUGGUGGGGUAACGCUCACCAAGGCGACGANCCGUAGCUGGUCUGAGAGGACGAUCAGCCACACUGGGACUGAGACACGGCCCAGACUCCUACGGGAGGCAGCAGUGGGGAAUCUUGCGCAAUGGGCGAAAGCCUGACGCAGCGACGCCGCGUGCGGGAAGAAGGCCUC